UCCUACGGGAGGCAGCAGUGGGGAAUAUUGCGCAAUGGGCGAAAGCCUGACGCAGCGACGCCGCGUGAGGGACGAAGGCCUUCGGGUCGUAAACCUCUUUCAGCAGGGACGAAGCGAAAGUGACGGUACCUGCAGAAGAAGCACCGGCUAACUACGUGCCAGCAGCCGCGGUAAUACGUAGGGUGCAAGCGUUGUCCGGAAUUAUUGGGCGUAAAGAGCUCGUAGGCGGCUUGUCACGUCUGCUGUGAAAACUCGGGGCUCAACCCCGAGCCUGCAGUGGAUACGGGCUAGCUAGAGUGCGGUAGGGGAGUCUGGAAUUCCUGGUGUAGCGGUGAAAUGCGCAGAUAUCAGGAGGAACACCGGUGGCGAAGGCGGGACUCUGGACCGAUACUGACGCUGAGGAGCGAAAGCGUGGGGAGCGAACAGGAUUAGAUACCCUGGUAGUCCACGCCGUAAACGUUGGGCGCUAGGUGUGGGGAACUUUCCACGUUCUCCGUGCCGCAGCUACGCAUUAAGCGCCCCGCCUGGGGAGUACGGCCGCAAGGCUAAAACUCAAAGGAAUUGACGGGGGCCCGCACAAGCAGCGGAGCAUGUGGCUUAAUUCGAUGCAACGCGAAGAACCUUACCAAGGCUUGACAUAUACCGAAAACUGUCAGAGAUGGCAGGUCCGCAAGGGCGGUAUACAGGUGGUGCAUGGUUGUCGUCAGCUCGUGUCGUGAGAUGUUGGGUUAAGUCCCGCAACGAGCGCAACCCUUGUUCUAUGUUGCCAGCGAGUAAUGUCGGGGACUCAUAGGAGACUGCCGGGGUCAACUCGGAGGAAGGUGGGGAUGACGUCAAAUCAUCAUGCCCCUUAUGUCUUGGGCUGCACACAUGCUACAAUGGCCGGUACAAAGGGCUGCGAAACCGCAAGGUGGAGCGAAUCCCAAAAAGCCGGUCUCAGUUCGGAUUGGGGUCUGCAACUCGACCCCAUGAAGUCGGAGUUGCUAGUAAUCGCAGAUCAGCA
RNAcentral lists this ribosomal RNA (1003 nucleotides) under uncultured Sporichthya sp. RNAcentral's name for it is "bacterial SSU rRNA". It matches the Rfam family "Bacterial small subunit ribosomal RNA", at positions 337 to 1354 of the family's 1533-position model. Lineage: Bacteria; Bacillati; Actinomycetota; Actinomycetes; Sporichthyales; Sporichthyaceae. The record is from RNAcentral.